This 497-nucleotide ribosomal RNA is filed under the name uncultured bacterium. RNAcentral describes it as "partial 16S ribosomal RNA". It matches the Rfam family "Bacterial small subunit ribosomal RNA", at positions 28 to 507 of the family's 1533-position model. The record is from RNAcentral.
GAUGAACGCUGGCGGCGUGCCUAAUACAUGCAAGUCGAGCGAACAGACGAGGAGCUUGCUCCCCUGACGUUAGCGGCGGACGGGUGAGUAACACGUGGAUAACCUACCUAUAAGACUGGGAUAACUUCGGGAAACCGGAGCUAAUACUGGAUAAUAUAUUGAACCGCAUGGUUCAAUAGUGAAAGACGGUUUUGCUGUCACUUAUAGAUGGAUCCGCGCCGCAUUAGCUAGUUGGUAAGGUAACGGCUUACCAAGGCGACGAUGCGUAGCCGACCUGAGAGGGUGAUCGGCCACACUGGAACUGAGACACGGUCCAGACUCCUACGGGAGGCAGCAGUAGGGAAUCUUCCGCAAUGGGCGAAAGCCUGACGGAGCAACGCCGCGUGAGUGAUGAAGGUCUUCGGAUCGUAAAACUCUGUUAUUAGGGAAGAACAAAUGUGUAAGUAACUAUGCACGUCUUGACGGUACCUAAUCAGAAAGCCACGGCUAACUACGUG